AUGUGGAAGCUCAAGAUCGCCGAGGGCGGCCCGUGGCUCUCGAGCGGCAACAAUCACGUCGGAAGAGAAACAUGGGAGUUUGACCAAAACGAUGCCGGAUCAAGCGAAGAGCGGGAUGCGGUCGACGCUGCACGGGCCGAAUUCCAGAAGAACAGGUUCAGGACAAGGCACAGCUCCGAUGUUUUGGCUCGCAUGCAGCUAGCAAAGAAGAAUAACUUCAGCCUUGAUCAGCAGAAACCAAAUGAUGAAGCUACUGUCGACAUCAAUGUAGCUACGGUAUCAGAGGCACUGAGAAGGGCACUCGGAUACUUCUCCGCCAUACAAGCGCAUGAUGGGCACUGGCCAGGAGAUUUUCCGGGGCCACUCUUUACCACAGCAACCAUGAUCAUAGUUUUGUAUGUCACCGAGUCAUUAGGUACUACGCUGUCAUCGGAGCAUCGCAAGGAGAUCUGUCGUUACUUGUACAACCGUCAGAAUAUAGAUGGAGGCUGGGGACUACACGCAGAAGGCGAAAGCUCCAUGCUCAGCUCAGCUCUCAACUACACUGCUCUAAGACUACUUGGUGAGGGCGCUGAUGAUGGACCGGAUAUGUCCAUGCCGAAAGCUCGGAAAUGGAUACAUGACCAUGGUGGUGCAACAAUGAUACCAAUCUUGGGAAAAGUGUGGCUCUCGGUACUUGGGGUUUUUGAAUGGUCAGGUGUAAACCCUAUGCCCCCAGAAUUGUUCCUUCUGCCAUCCUUCGUUCCUAUUCAACCAGGACGGUUGUGGAGUCACUUCAGAAUGGCUUUCAUCCCCAUGUCCUAUUUAUAUGGCAAGAAGUUUGUUGGCCCAAUAACAAAACUGGUUUUGUCAUUAAGAGAAGAGCUGCAUAUUCACCCCUACAAAAAGAUUAACUGGAAGCAAGCGCGCAAAUUAUGCGCAAAGGAAGAUGCCUAUCAUCCACAUACCUGGCUCCAAGAAUGCUUGUCUGACUGCCUUUACAGUUUCGGUGAACCGUUUCUGGCAUGUUGGCCGGUUUCCUACAUGAGACGAAGAGCUCUACGACAAAUUGCCGAUUUCCUGAAAUACGAAGAUGAUAUUUCACGGUAUAUCUGCAUCGGCGCCGCGCAAAAGGCAUUAUCCAUGUUAUGCUGUUGGUCUGAGGAUCCCAAUUCAGAUGCAUUCAAGCGCCACUUGGCUAGAGUCGCUGAUUUCCUAUGGCUCAGUGAAGAUGGCAUGAAAGUGCGGGUAUGUGCGGGCCAAUCAUGGGAUGUUGCUUUUGCCGUACAAGCGAUAUUAGCGUCUAAUGUUGCAGAGGAAUUUGGAACUACUCUCAGGAAAGCACAUCAUUUCAUAAAAGCAUCCCAGAUUGUGGACAAUCCUUCAGGUGACUUCGCCAGAAAGUACCGUCACAUCUCUAAAGGAGGAUGGGCCUUCCAGGUUGCAGACCAGGGCUGGCAGGUUUCAGAUUGCACAGCAGAAGCUCUCAAGGCUCUGUUACUGCUCUCGAAGUUUCCGUCAGAUAUCGUGGGUGAUCAGAUGGAAACAUGCCGCUUCCAUGAUGCGGUGAACGUAUUACUAUCUUUACAGAAUCCUAAUGGUGGCUAUGGAACUUGGGAGCUAGCUCGUACAUAUCCAUGGAUGGAGAAUUUAAACAUGACAGAGAUAUAUGCGGACAUCAUGGUGGAGCAUCAGUACGUCGAGUGUACCUCAUCGGUCAUCCAAGCAUUGGCCCUGUUUCGGCAAAAGUACCCCGGGCAUCGGGAAGAUGAAAUAGAACAGUGCAUCAGGAGAGCGACAGAAUUCAUUGAGAAGUUGCAGAAUGAAGACGGUUCAUGGUUUGGAUCAUGGGGUAUUUGCUUCACAUAUGGCACAUGGUUUGCUAUAGAGGGCCUAUCAGCAGUUGGACAGUGUUACAAUAACAGCACCUACAUUCGGAAGGGUUGCCAGUUUCUAUUAUCAAAGCAGCUAAGGAAUGGUGGAUGGGGUGAGAGCCAUCUUUCAUCCACAACCAAGGCAUACACCAACCUAGACGGGGAGAAAUCACACAUAGUCAACACCGCAUGGGCGAUGUUGGCGCUUAUGAAAGCUGGACAGGCCGAAAGAGAUCCGUCUCCUUUGCACGAAGCUGCAAGACUUAUCAUGAGCAUGCAGCUUGGCAAUGGUGACUUCCCACAGGAGGAAAUGAUUGGAAGUUUCUUGAAAAAUGGUCCCUUGUGUUAUAUGGCUUAUCGCAACAUAUUCCCCAUAUGGGCCCUUGGAGAGUAUCAUAGAUUAGUACUUUGCUCUGGCUAA
Molecule: ribosomal RNA, 2274 nt
Filed under: Triticum aestivum (bread wheat)
Lineage: Eukaryota; Viridiplantae; Streptophyta; Magnoliopsida; Poales; Poaceae
Description: partial small subunit ribosomal RNA
Source: RNAcentral